This 257-nucleotide ribosomal RNA is filed under the name uncultured bacterium. RNAcentral describes it as "partial 16S ribosomal RNA". It matches the Rfam family "Bacterial small subunit ribosomal RNA", at positions 524 to 776 of the family's 1533-position model. The record is from RNAcentral.
UACGUAGGGGGGCAAGCGUUGUCCGGAUUUAUUGGGCGUAAAGAGCUCGUAGGCGGUUUGUCGCGUCGAAUGUGAAAAACCCGGGGGCUCAACCCCCGGGCCUGCAUUCGAUACGGGCAGACUAGAGUUCGGUAGGGGAGUCUGGAAUUCCUGGUGUAGCGGUGAAAUGCGCAGAUAUCAGGAGGAACACCGGUGGCGAAGGCGGGACUCUGGGCCGAUACUGACGCUGAGGAGCGAAAGCGUGGGGAGCAAACAGG